AACAAUAAAAACGUAACCUGUGAGUUCUUAUUCUUUGAAUUUUUUAUAGAUUUCUUUUACAAAUUUCUUUUAUCCGUCAAAAAACUUUUAUUAUUAAUCUUACUAAUGAUGGUUGUUUGGUAAUUAAACUAUGUAUAUUUAUUAACUAAAAACAGAAUAUGGAUGUUAAUUACAAGAAAAAAUAUUACACUGACGUGAAAAAUGUAAAACAAUGGUUCUAUUCUACGAAAGAAAGAUGUGAUUCGUUAAAAUCUCAUAUGAAAUAUAUGAAAAUGUUAUAUCAUGAUAUGCCAAAAAUACAAGAAACUAAAAAGACUUUGUGUGAUCCAAAUUGGCAAAAUUGUAAAAUAAAGACUUCUAGUAAUGAUGAAACUAUAGUUUCCAGACAAGUGAAUUGUAAUAAUUCCUUGGAAAAGUAUUCUGAUAAUCUAUAUGAUAAGAUCCACAAAGAUAAGCCUUUCACAACUCCAAAUUUAGCCAAUAUUUUAUCAGAAAAUAAUCUGCAGAAGAAAGAAGAAGAAAAAGAAAAACAAAAGAACUUAAAUAAACAGAAAGGAACAGAAACUGAAUUAUCUUCGAUUACACUUCAAACUUAUGCUAUUUCACAGAACACAGAAUCAAGAUCGUUACUACCAACUCAGAAAGAUAACAUGGCACAGUGUGAAGAACACAAUUACAAUUGGCAAUUCCCAUAUCAAAAGCAUCUAACAGAAUAUUCUACAGAAUUAAUAGGAAAUAAUGAAACUUUAACCAAAUCUUUUGAACAAUUAAAUCUGGAUAAUCAAAAUAGCUAUUUACUUCAAGAAUCAUUUUCUGCAAAAGAUGAUAUUAAACUAAAUAUUUCUGGUAAUGUUAAAGAUGGAUCCGUGGAUAAAAGUAAAGUCUCUACAAAAAACGAAAAAAAAGAAAAAGCUAUUUCUUCAGCAUUAUCAAGCAAGAAAGGCUCCUUAUGUAAGCUAGAUGACAUUGUUCCAUUGAAGAUUAAAAGACGAAGAAAAAAAAUACACUGUUCUAAUUCACGGAGUACUGUAACUACAAGAGAUACAAUUUUUUUAGGAAAAAAGGAUACAAAAAAACGAAAACAAAAAAAUAGUGUAAGUAAUCGUCAUACAUUCAAGUCUCACCAAACAUCUAAUGAUGUAGUGGAAAUUUAUCAUAAUGCAGCAGCAAAGAGUGGUAGCACAUCUGCUAUUCCUAGUAAACAUUCAAAACUUGAACAUCACAUGAACUAUAUUAACAUAUUAACAUCUUCAGCUAUGAAUAAACAACAAAACAUAUCCAUAAAACCAAAAUAUGAAGAUAAUAAUUAUCAAAAUGUUAGUGAUGUUAAUGUAGAUUGUCCCAAAAAUUAUUCUCAAAAGCAACAUCAAACUGAUCAGAAAACAGUAGAAAGGAUUACAAUUAAUAAUGAUCUAAGUAAUAAUUUGAAAAUUUCAACCAGUCCUGCAUGUACCAUGGAAAAGUACAAUUCGCAUCAGUGUCAACAUGCAAUUAUACAAGCAUCAUAUUGCGACCCAAUAGUUACUCAUAAUUAUGAAAUGCCAACUUUAGCUUCUAAAUUAAAGAGAGCCAAUCGUUCAUAUUUCGGUAGAUUUAACUUUCAAAAUAUACCCUUUGUAGUGGGUACUUCUGUAACCCCAAGUCAUAAUUUAGGUUUAAAUAUACAGCAAGUUUUGAGCAUUAUGAAAACAAGGCAAAUUGCUGCAACAGGAGUGACACCUCUUCUUAUUCGUAAGAUUAGCAGAGGUAUGAAGCCUGCAUCUGUUCUUGUAGAACAGAUAAACAAUCAACAGAGUAAACUGUCUCAUAUAAAUUCCCAAAUGAAUAAUAUACAUAUACAGAAAGAAAAUUUGUUUAUGAGUAAAGGUGAUCAUUUAUUAGAAAAUGAAAAUAUGUUUUUAAAAUAUGAUAGGAAAGGAGUAAGUAAUUUAAAUGUAAAUUUGAAAUCAAAUAUUGAGCAAUAUCAGAAUUUACAAAAAGGAAUUAAUGGCAGUGUAAAUAAAUAUGGGAAUUUUCAUAAGAAAAAGGAUACUAGAUCAGAGAAUCAAUUGAAUACACUGAAUACAAUACUACAUGUAACAGACAAUAAAAUGUUGAAAUUAUUUGCUUCCCAACAAAAUGUAAACACAAAGAUGGAAAACCCAGAAAUGCAAUCCAAAAUAUAUCAGAACACAUUACAGGGCAAUAUUUGUGAUAAACACAUUUCUAAUACCUCAACAGUUAAUCAUUCUCAAGAUUCUAAAGGAAUAAGGGAAGUUCUCAUUAACCUUCAUGAUCAGUUCGAGGAAAUGAACACAAAAUAUGAAAAAUUACAAGCAAAAGCAAAAAAAUACAGUGAUAAAGAUUUAGAAGAAGAAAUACUACAUUUAGAAAAAGAAUUAAGCAUUAAAGAAGAUGAGAUAAAUGCUGUUGUUAACUUGUAUAAAGAGGUGAUGUCAUUAAAACAUCAAAUGAAAUUAUUACAAAAAAAGAACAGUUACGUUUGUAUAUCAACUGAAAUUCCACUGGGAUCAGAUAAAUUGUAUGCAGCUAUGCCAUUUACAUCAACUAAAUCUAAUGGAUCAAAUGGAUCAAAUUUUCAGCAGAGACUUUUUCACAAAAGGGGAAAUAGUGCUGUCACAAGGGAACCUAUUUCUCUUCGUCUAGCUGGUCUCUUACGGCAAAUUCAAACAUUUCAGAAGCAAUUGAAACUAACAUCAUGGUAACAACACAAUGUGGAUCAUAUUUAUCACAUUCGACUUGUCUGGCAGCACCCAAUGCAUCGUUGGGAAAUUGAAAAGUUACAUACUUGAGUGAGUCGAGUCGUUCUUUCAACAAGAGAAAAAAGGUACGGAGGACUGUGAUCGAUCAGCGUUAGAGAGAAAUGCCUUUGAGAACGCCAACCACGAGGUACAGAAAAACACAUUCAAGGUACAUCGACGUUUAUAAUCGUCCCAAAUGAUAUUUUAUAUUGUAUGCACAUAUCCUAGUGACGAACGAAUAAAGAUAAACAAAAUAAAAAGUGAGAACAGGCUAACAAUUAAAUUAAAAAGAGAAAACAUUUUUACUAGAAUCCUAAUGUAAGGAACUGCUUCUUCUUAAGCUAUGUAUUUUAAAUCAGGGUGAACUGUUUUAUCGAUUAAUCGUAAGUAACAAAUUGUCGGCAUAUCCGUUAAAAGGGAUCGAUUAAAAAACUUCCAGUAAUGCAAUUAUUUAGCAGCGAAGUACGUAAGAAAUACAUUCUCGUGUCCUCAGAAAUAACUAAUAUCUUUCAUAGUACAUGUUUACCAUGAAGGCAAAGAAAAGUUGCACUUUUAUGGAUGCUUUUUUAGCAGAUUUUAAUAAAACCGCGAGAUCUUGUAUCGCGCUGACAUUACAUAACAACACAUCGUGUAUUCCUAUUUUCAGACUUCUUUCUUAAAUCGAAUUACCUCUUACGUUAAUAUCAUGCAUGAUUAAGUUGUAUAAUUUGUCACAUUAAAUGGAUCAACUUCUUA
Bombus impatiens (common eastern bumble bee) is the source of this 3476-nucleotide RNA transcript. RefSeq lists it as uncharacterized. The record is from RefSeq and is a predicted model, not a curated record. The transcript has 13 exons. NCBI's taxonomy places the organism in Eukaryota, Metazoa, Arthropoda, Insecta, Hymenoptera, Apidae.